GACGAACGCUGGCGGCGUGCUUAACACAUGCAAGUCGAACGGAGUGGCGAACGGGGGCGUAACACGUUGGUGACCUGCCCUCCACUUCGGGAUAAGCAUGGGAAACUGGGUCUAAUACCGGAUAGUGGGGGAUGGGCCCGCGGCCUAUCAGAUUGUUGGUGGGGUAAUGGCCUACCAAGGCGGCGACGGGUCGCCGGCCUGAGAGGGUGUCCGGCCACAUUGGGCCUGAGGCACGGCCCAGACUCCUACGGGAGGCAGCAGUGGGGAAUAUGGCACAAUGGGCGGAAGCCUGAUGCAGCGACGCCGCGUGGGGGAUGACGGCCUUCGUGUUGUAAACUCCUUUCACCAUCGACGCGGUAGAUGGAGAAGAAGCACCGGCUAACUACGUGCCAGCAGCCGCGGUAAUUC
RNAcentral lists this ribosomal RNA (408 nucleotides) under uncultured bacterium. RNAcentral's name for it is "partial 16S ribosomal RNA". It matches the Rfam family "Bacterial small subunit ribosomal RNA", at positions 28 to 526 of the family's 1533-position model. The record is from RNAcentral.